Molecule: ribosomal RNA, 465 nt
Filed under: uncultured bacterium
Lineage: Bacteria
Description: partial 16S ribosomal RNA
Rfam family: Bacterial small subunit ribosomal RNA
Source: RNAcentral
GACGAACGCUGGCGGCGUGCUUAACACAUGCAAGUCGAACGGAAAGGCCCUGCUUGCAGCGUACUCGAGUGCCUAAUGGGUUUCUAACACGUGGAUGAUCUGCCCUGCACUUCGGGAUCAGCUUGGGUAACUGGGUCUAAUACCGCAUAUGAGCCAAUCCUAGUGUGCUGCUUGGUAAUUUUUUUCGGUGUCGGAUGAGCUCCCGGCCUGUCAGCUUGUUGGUGGGGUAAUGGCCUACCAAGGCGCCGACGGGUAGCCGGCCUGGAAGGUUGGACGGCCACAGUGGGGCGGCGGUAGAGCCCAGACUCCUGCAGGAAGCAGCAGUGGGGAAUAUUGCACAAUGGGCGCAAGCCUGAGGCAGCGACGCCGAGGGGGAGAUGACGGCCUUCGGGUUGUAAACUCCUUGAGCUAAGGACGAAGCAUUUUGUGACGGUACGUAGGUAAAGAGCAAGGGCUAGCAACGUA